AAUUUGGACAUGGGAACAUGGUAACCUCAGGUGACACUGCUCCAGAAUAGAGCUGCUGUUUGAUAAGACUCUCAUUGCCUUGGUUUGCCUUCUUCAGGUCUUCCUAAGAAUGACAUGAAAUUUUCAGCUGAAAAAGAAGUAGUCACAGAAUCCCUUCAAAGUCUACGUUCAUCUGAAAAUGUGGUAACCGUCUUAGUUGAUGUCCCCAAAAGCAGAACCCGAGGCUAAAACGUUGGAGCUGGCCACAGCGGCCCUGCAAACGCGGAUAAACCUGGAAACCAAUGCGCUAAUAGAGAGGAGCCAGACACAAAAGACCACCCAUUGUUUGAUCCCAUUUACAUGAAAUUUCUGCAAAGAGGAGAUACUAUGGCUAUGGAAAGCAAAUCAGUGGUUUCCUAGAGGCUGCUGGGAACAGGGAUUGAGUACAAAAAAGUGUGAGGAAAAGCUUCAGGGUGCUGGAACUGUCCUAAAACUGGAUUGUGGUGGUGGCUGCAUAGUUGUGAAAACGUAUGAUAAGCCAAUUACACAAUCACGCUUUUUGAGGGAGAAAGAAAAGGAAAAAGAGGAGGGGGGAGGGAGAAAAGCCCUGGGAACUGUAGGAAGCAACAUCUAGUUGCUGUGGGGUAGACGAGCUCCCUGAUGAAAGAGUUACAGCACCUUCACUCGCAAGUGACAUCCAGCAGCCCCUGAAAGGAAACUUUGGCCCCCAACACACCCUCAAGGGGAAAACAGGACCUGUUUUGCACAGGAACUUCAAGAUGAGCCUUCUCCCCUCCCCUCCAACAGGGUGGCCCUCAGCUGCUUCAGGACAAGCAGGUCAGCGUAGCACCAAAGGGGGAGCCGUGCAGUUGGGCUUCUAAAUUUUCUAGCAGACACAUUAAAAAUGGAAACAGAAACAGACUGCAUUAACUUUAACAAUAUGUUUCCUUUAACCCAGUAUGUCCAAAGUGUGAUCCUUUCAGCGUAUCAUCAAUAGAAAAACUACUGCAAUAUUUUACUUUCUUUCUUUCAUACGAAGCCUUCAAAGUCUGUUACGAGUCAAAUGGCAUUUUUCAAAUUUGACCAGCUUCAUUUUCAAGUGUUGGAAGGCCACAGGUGGCUACGGCCUUGGACAGCACAGGCCUAGAGGCAUCUUGUCGAUACUCCAGAGACUUCAGAUUGUUCGAAGAGAGAAUGGUUUUCCUGCAGACGCCCACUGCCAGCUAAACAAACAAAGAAAGGGCUUCCCUGGUGGCUCAGUGAUAAAGAAUCCACCUGGCAAUGCAGGAGACACGGGUUCGAUCCCUGGUCUGGGAAUAUCCCACAUGCUGCGGAGCAACUAAGCCCUUUGCCACAACAACCAAGCCUGUGCUCUGGAGCCCGGGAGCUGCGACUCCUGAGCCCACGAGCCCCAGCUAAUGGAGCCUGAGUUCUGUAGGCCUGUGCUCCUCCACGAGAGGCCCCAUCCCAGUGAGAAGCCCGCACACCGCAAGGCGAGAGGAGCCCCUGCUCACAACUAGAGAAGACCCCAAGCAGCAAGGAAG
Long non-coding RNA from Capra hircus (goat), 1523 nucleotides. RefSeq lists it as uncharacterized. The record is from RefSeq and is a predicted model, not a curated record. Lineage: Eukaryota; Metazoa; Chordata; Mammalia; Artiodactyla; Bovidae. The transcript is spliced from 3 exons.